CCUACGGGUGGCAGCAGUGAGGAAUAUUGGUCAAUGGGCGCGAGCCUGAACCAGUCAAGUCGCGUGAGGGAAGACGGCCCUACGGGUUGUAAACCUCUUUUGCCGGGGAGCAACGGGCGCCACGUGUGGCGCCACUGAGAGUACCCGGAGAAAAAGCAUCGGCUAACUCCGUGCCAGCAGCCGCGGUCAUAUGGAGGAUGCGAGCGUUAUCCGGAUUUAUUGGGUGUAAAGGGUGCGUAGGCGGAGCGUUAAGUCAGUGGUCAAAUUGAGGGGCUCAACCCCUUCCCGCCAUUGAAACUGGCGCUCUUGAGUGGAAGAGAAGUAUGAGGAAGGCGUGGUGUAGCGGUGAAAGGCAUAGAUAUCACGCAGAACCCCGAUUGCGAAGGCAGCAUGCCGGCUUCCUACUGACGCUGAAGCACGAAAGCGUGGGGAUCGAACAGGAUUAGAUACCCUUGUAGUC
This 460-nucleotide ribosomal RNA is filed under the name uncultured bacterium. RNAcentral's name for it is "partial 16S ribosomal RNA". It matches the Rfam family "Bacterial small subunit ribosomal RNA", at positions 338 to 795 of the family's 1533-position model. The record is from RNAcentral.